Molecule: long non-coding RNA, 860 nt
Organism: Bombyx mori (domestic silkworm)
Lineage: Eukaryota; Metazoa; Arthropoda; Insecta; Lepidoptera; Bombycidae
Exons: 5
Source: RefSeq, a predicted model, not a curated record
UGAGGAGCGCCAAUGAAGGCGCUCUGAAAGCGCCCGUGACUUAAGCGACAAGACGCCCGGUGUAUUCGCUACAAAUAUGGUGGUAGGAUUACUGGUGGUAGGACCUCCCUUACUGGUAGUAGGACCUCUAUUACUGGUGGAAGACCUCUUGUGAGUCCGUGCGGGUAGGUACCACCAUCCUGCCUAUUUCUGCCGUCAAGCAGUAUUGCGUUUCGGUUUGAAGGGCGAGGCAGCCGUUGUAACUAUACUGAUAUCUUAGAACUGAUAUCUCAAGGGUCUGGGGCAUCUCCGUGUCCAUAGUCUCCGGUAGGAAAAGGCACAGCAUGCCGCCCACCACGCCGAGGGCACCCAAGAUCAACAGCGGUAAAUCCGAUACACCACAAACGGGGCCAGAAUUGACGCAACGUAGCCCAUGAUGUGGAUGAGAGCGACGCCCUGGGCUCUAACGACCGUGGGCAGCAGCUCAGCCGCGUACUGAAGGCCAAUGUUGUAUGAGAUGUUCACGGCGAAUCGGCCCAAGAUGGCCAGAGAUGCCGAUGGACCUCCUAUCAAAGGAAUACAGAAUGAAAGAAUAGAAUCUUUCACUCACCAACGGGAACUGCUGUGGCGAGGAGACUGAAAACUCCGCUGACCACCAUAGAACCACAUGCCAACCAUCUCCUGCCCCAUCUGAAAGGAUAUGAUGGAGAGGAAUUUAUAAGAGACCAUGUGAAUUGAAAAGGGUUGCGAACAAAUUAGUACCUGUCAAGCACCGCCGUCAAAAACGUAUCAGCCGGUAGCUCGGUGGCCGAAGCUAUUGUGAACGUCAGAAAUAUGUCCAAGCCCAGAGAACCUACAUUCCUCACGUGACCGUCGAAGAC